GUGGGGAAUCUUCCGCAAUGGACGAAAGUCUGACGGAGCAACGCCGCGUGAACGAUGACGGCCUUCGGGUUGUAAAGUUCUGUUAUACGGGACGAAUGGUACGACGGUCAAUACCCGUCGUAAGUGACGGUACCGUAAGAGAAAGCCACGGCUAACUACGUGCCAGCAGCCGCGGUAAUACGUAGGUGGCAAGCGUUGUCCGGAAUUAUUGGGCGUAAAGGGCGCGCAGGCGGCGUCGUAAGUCGGUCUUAAAAGUGCGGGGCUUAACCCCGUGAGGGGACCGAAACUGCGAUGCUAGAGUAUCGGAGAGGAAAGCGGAAUUCCUAGUGUAGCGGUGAAAUGCGUAGAUAUUAGGAGGAACACCAGUGGCGAAAGCGGCUUUCUGGACGACAACUGACGCUGAGGCGCGAAAGCCAGGGGAGCAAACGGGAUUAGAAACCCGGGUAGUCC
RNAcentral lists this ribosomal RNA (450 nucleotides) under uncultured bacterium. RNAcentral's name for it is "partial 16S ribosomal RNA". It matches the Rfam family "Bacterial small subunit ribosomal RNA", at positions 354 to 796 of the family's 1533-position model. The record is from RNAcentral.